This 468-nucleotide ribosomal RNA is filed under the name uncultured bacterium. RNAcentral's name for it is "partial 16S ribosomal RNA". It matches the Rfam family "Bacterial small subunit ribosomal RNA", at positions 28 to 507 of the family's 1533-position model. The record is from RNAcentral.
GACGAACGUUGGCCGCGUGCUUAACACAUGCCAGUCUAACGGAAAGGCCAUGCUGUUGUGGGGUGCUCGAGUGGCGAAGGGGUGAGUAACCCGUGAGUAGACUGGCCUUGAGUUUGGGAUAACCUCAGGAAAGUGGGGCUAAUACCGGCUAGGAGCUCCUGCUGCAUGGUGGGGGUUGGAAAGUUUCGGCGGUUGGGGAUGGACUCGCGGCUUAUCAGCUUGUUGGUGGGGUAGUGGCUUACCAAGGCUUGGAUGGGUAGCCUGCCUGAGCGGGUGACCGGCCACAUUGGGACUGAGAUACGGCCCAGACUCCUACGGGAGGCAGCAGUGGGGAAUAUUGCACAAUGGGCGGAAGCCUGAUGCAGCAACGCCGCGUGCGGGAUGACGGCCUUCGGGUUGUAAACCGCUUUCGCCUGUGACGAAGCGUGAGUGACGGUAAUGGGUAAAGAAGCACCGGCUAACUACGUG